UACCAUUGUUUGCCAGGGAGCCCCACAUGU
RNAcentral lists this non-coding RNA (30 nucleotides) under Mus musculus (house mouse). The record is from RNAcentral. Lineage: Eukaryota; Metazoa; Chordata; Mammalia; Rodentia; Muridae.